UGAGCCAGCUACUUGGGCAGC
Molecule: unclassified non-coding RNA, 21 nt
Filed under: Chlamydomonas reinhardtii
Lineage: Eukaryota; Viridiplantae; Chlorophyta; Chlorophyceae; Chlamydomonadales; Chlamydomonadaceae
Description: small RNA Cre_2910
Source: RNAcentral